RNAcentral lists this ribosomal RNA (328 nucleotides) under uncultured bacterium. RNAcentral describes it as "bacterial SSU rRNA". It matches the Rfam family "Bacterial small subunit ribosomal RNA", at positions 568 to 898 of the family's 1533-position model. The record is from RNAcentral.
UGCGUAGGUGGCUUUGUAAGUCAGUGGUGAAAUAUUACGGCUCAACCGUAAAACUGCCAUUGAUACUGCUUAGCUUGAAUCAGGUCGAGGUGGAUGGAAUAUUACAUGUAGCGGUGAAAUGCUUAGAUAUGUAAUAGAACACCGAUUGCGAAGGCAGUUCACUAGGCCUGAAUUGACACUGAGGCACGAAAGCGUGGGGAUCAAACAGGAUUAGAUACCCUGGUAGUCCACGCCCUAAACGAUGUAAACUCGACGUUAGCGAUACACUGUUAGCGUCCAAGCGAAAGCGUUAAGUUUACCACCUGGGAAGUACGACCGCAAGGUUGAA